Xiphophorus hellerii (green swordtail) is the source of this 932-nucleotide long non-coding RNA. RefSeq lists it as uncharacterized. Lineage: Eukaryota; Metazoa; Chordata; Actinopteri; Cyprinodontiformes; Poeciliidae. The transcript is spliced from 3 exons. The record is from RefSeq and is a predicted model, not a curated record.
GACAGAGGUCAGAGGUCAAACGUUUUCUGUAAGUCUUCACAAGGUUGGCACAAACUGUAGCUGGUAUUUAUACCUCAUUAUUCUGGAGCCUCUAAUUGGUUUCAUCUUUUAUAAUUACUUUUCUAAUGAGAAAUCACAAACAAUAAGUUGUUAAUUAUCUCACAUUUUCUGGCUUCUUUAAUGUCUUAUUUACACAAUUUGUCUUAUUUGUGUUUAGAGGGAAUGUGGUUUCUGCUUCACACUGGAUGAUCUUAUAAAAAACAUUUCUCAGUUUAAAUCCAGCCCUGCUGUUUAUAACCUACCAGCUAACAGCAGUUAUUAUCCUACUGGAUUAUUGUGAGGUUUGAUUUUACUGUUAAAUGGAGAGAAAAGAAACCAAACAUUUGACAUUUGUCUAUUUUUUUAUGAAUUUAUGGCAGUUUUUAAACAUAAACCCUGGAAAAGAUGGAUGGAUGGAUUGAUUGAUUCUCAAGGGCAAAUUGUUUUUUGUUUACAAGCUACUUCUUCUGAGGUUUUAAAUUUCCAUAAUACAAAUAUAGGAACCAAGGAACAUUUAAAUCCUGGAUGAGAAAGUAACAGGUGGCACCACUAGGUGUCGCUCUCUCUACCUGAGCCUGAGCCUCCAUAAAAGGGAAGCUGGAAGGAUGGUGGCCAAGGAUCAGUUUCCUGUGUGUGAGACCAGCUGUGUGUUGGGCCCACGCUGUUUGCUGGCUGUGGACUGCAUUGUUGAUGGUGUUCAGCUGGUAGCGUUACCUGGGCGUGGUUGUUGGACGCCGCAGGGUUGCACCAGAUCGGCUACACCAAGGUUUGAUCUGAGAGUGUUGAUUUAUGCGAUGCAGGUAGGCAGUGUUUUAAUGUGUUUUAGGUUGAUUUGAUUAAAAUGAUUUAAUAAGCAUUUAGUAAUUUCUGUGUUUUUGUUUUACAGUUUUUGC